CGGGCUGUCACAAUCUACCCACCUUACAGAAAUUUCGUCCUCGAAAUUUACACAAUCUUUACAAUCCAUCAAUAUCCAUGAAACAGCCCGAAACACAUCUCUCUCAUUCGAUUCUUUGACUUUCAAGUAGUUUCUUCCACUGAAAGAUUCCUCCAUAAAUUUUCACCAAACUCAGAGUCUUGAAUAUCAUCCGUCCCCAAUUCUAACAAUUUCGAAACACAAGACAUAGCUUUUCCACGGCCUUAUGGCGUUACUCUAGGGAACAAACUGAAGGAACCAACAUACCCAAGAAGUUUAACAGAUCCCAAUCUCCUUUUUCCAUAAAACAAAUAAAUAACUGUUGCGCUUAUCUGGAAAGGUUGAUGUUCUCAUACUGAAGUAACAUGCGCUGACGUCACAAGUUAAUCAAUUAUUAUUCAAACUCCAACCUAACUAUUUGGUAUACGAGGAAGCUUGUCCAUGAAAUCCAUAGUAAUAUUCUCCCAUUUCCGCCGUGGAAUGGGAAAUGACUACAUUAUUCCAAAAGACUUAUUUUCUUUCUGCUUUAACCUGAUGACUGAUGAUACGCCUACUAACAUACUUCGCCAUUCCUCUUUUCAUACCCGUCAAUAGUACAUGAACGAAUGGUAUGAUAAAUCUUAGUACUUUUGGGAUGCAUUGUAGAAGUGGAAUAAUGUACAUCGUCAAAAUUGCUUUAUUUAAUUCCACACCAUUAGGCAUAAACACUUUGUUCCCUUGCAUAAGCUUGCCAUCUGAUUCUCUAACUCUAAGGUCCUUCUUCUUUAUCCCGUUAUUCCUUGCUUUAAAUAAAUUCUUAAAUUUCUUCGUCAAACGCUUGAGUAUCGAGUACGAUCUACCAAAUGGGUCCAACUUAGAAAUUAGCAAGUAAGGCUUUAUUCUCGAUUUUUGAUACUCAACUUUACUCCAGUAGAUUUCAAAUCCACAAGAAGAUGAACAUAGCAAGCAUACCAAGCAUUAAUUCUCACUGGGGUCUUCCUACUAAAUGCAUCAGCCACAACAUUAGCUUGACCACCCUCGUCACACAAUCAUAAUCACUAAGCAAACUCAUUCCACCUUUGUUGCCUAAGAUUAAGAUACCUCUGAAUAAACAGAUAUUGGGUACUCUUUUGAUUUGUAACAAUCAUGCACUUUUCUUCCCAUUAAAGACAAUGUCUCCAAAUUCUCAAAGCAAAGAUGAUAGCUGCUAAUUCCAAAUUAUAAUUAGGGUAAUUCAUCUUAUGAGAUCCCAAUGGCCAUGAAGCAUAGGCAAUCAUCCUACCAUGUUGCAUCAACGCGCAUUCAAGAACAUUCAAAGAAGUAUUACUAUAGACCACGUAAUUACCACUAUCGUUUGGGAGUGCGAAAACAGAUGCAUGAGUGAGGGAAUACUUUACUUGCUGAAGCUCUACUCACAAUUUUUUUCAUCCCACUCAAACUUAACCUCUUUUUCUCAUCAAUCUCGCCAAGGGCGAAGCAAUAAUUAAAAAAUCUUGGACGAACUAUCGACAAUAUCCUGCUAAUCCGAGAAAACUCUGAACCUCAGUCACGGUUGGCAAUUGUUCCAAAUUCUCAAUCGUUGCUACUCUUUUAAGAAUCCACUUGAAUACCUUAAGUAGAUAUAAUUAAUUUAUCCAACAUUAGCAUUUGCUAAACUUAGCAUACAUCAACGUUCCUUCAAUCUUUGCAACACCAACUUUAAAUAUCUAGCAUGCACUGCUCUAAUCUUAUCAAUCUCGUCAAUGGCAACAACAACAAACCGAUCUAGAUAUCACUGGAAUACUUCCUUCAGUAAGCUCAUAAAAGUAGCAGGUGCAUUCGUCACUCCGUAUGGCAUCCCAACUUGAAAUGACCAUAACGAGUCCUGGAUUCAGUCUUAUGGACAUCCCCACUGUUAAUCUUCAACUAAUAUCAUUCAGACCUCAAGUCAGUCUCAGAAAGUACCCAGGCGCCUCAGAGCUGAUCAAAUAAUAAUUAAUACACAAAACAAUGGAUAACAGCUCUCAAUCGUUACCCGAUUCAAUUACCUAAUAUCAAUGCCUAGCCUUAAUGUCCACUUUCUUCCUCACAAAUAAACCGGAGCUUUUCCAAUGUGAUAUAAUAAGUUGAAUGGAACUUUUAACUAAACCUGAACCAAUUUCUAACAUAGGAUUUGUACCUAAAAACAAUUCAAUAAUGGAACCCACAUCUCUGCCUGGCGGCAAUCUAGGUAAGUCAUCUGGGAAUACACCAAGAAAAUGUCUAACCAUCUUUACAUCUUCCAUACUAUUAGGAUCAACAUCAUUUAGCACCAUAUGAACUCAAUAUCUUGGCAGCCUUUUGAUAACAAUCUUCUUUGCUCUCUCAACAGGAAUAAUGGCAUAACUCACUCCACUUUACUUACCCCCAAAAGUAACCUCUGGUCAUCUAGGUCAACAAAAAUUAACUGAUUCCCCAUAGCAAUCNUCUCUCUCAUUCGAUUCUUUGACUUUCAAGUAGUUUCUUCCACUGAAAGAUUCCUCCAUAAAUUUUCACCAAACUCAGAGUCUUGAAUAUCAUCCGUCCCCAAUUCUAACAAUUUCGAAACACAAGACAUAGCUUUCCACGGCCUUAUGGCGUUACUCUAGGGAACAAACUGAAGGAACCAACAUACCCAAGAAGUUUAACAGAUCCCAAUCUCCUUUUUCCAUAAAACAAAUAAAUAACUGUUGCGCUUAUCUGGAAAGGUUGAUGUUCUCAUACUGAAGUAACAUGCGCUGACGUCACAAGUCAAUCAAUUAUUAUUCAAACUCCAACCUAACUAUUUGGUAUACGAGGAAGCUUGUCCAUGAAAUCCAUAGUAAUAUUCUCCCAUUUCCGCCGUGGAAUGGGAAAUGACUACAUUAUUCCAAAAGACUUAUUUCUUUCUGCUUUAACCUGAUGACUGAUGAUACGCCUACUAACAUACUUCGCCAUUCCUCUUUUCAUACCCGUC
RNAcentral lists this long non-coding RNA (2950 nucleotides) under Malus domestica (apple). Its description in RNAcentral is "long non-coding RNA (MDOM_LNC018603)". The record is from RNAcentral. Lineage: Eukaryota; Viridiplantae; Streptophyta; Magnoliopsida; Rosales; Rosaceae.